Molecule: ribosomal RNA, 257 nt
Filed under: uncultured bacterium
Lineage: Bacteria
Description: partial 16S ribosomal RNA
Rfam family: Bacterial small subunit ribosomal RNA
Source: RNAcentral
AUUAACGCUAGCGGCAGGCAUAAUACAUGCAAGUUGAACGGCAGCACAGGUAGCAAUACCGGGUGGCGAGUGGCGCACGGGUGCGUAACACGUAUGCAACCUACCCUAUACAGGCGAAUAACCUUUAGAAAUGAGGGCUAAUACGCCGUGGUAUUAUCUUGGGGCAUCUUGAGAUAAUUAAAGAUUUAUCGGUAUAGGAUGGGCAUGCGUCCCAUUAGUUAGUUGGUAGGGUAACGGCCUACCAAGGCGAUGAUGGG